Molecule: long non-coding RNA, 679 nt
Organism: Malus domestica (apple)
Lineage: Eukaryota; Viridiplantae; Streptophyta; Magnoliopsida; Rosales; Rosaceae
Source: RefSeq, a predicted model, not a curated record
AUCUCAUAUAACAAACGCUGCACAGAGACGUUAGAGAGAACUGCUUGUUUUAGACAGAGAAGUUAGAGAGAGAGAGAGACUGAAAAUGUCAGGAAUCAUGGGCAAGAUUGGAGGUGCCCUCCACAUUGGAGGCGACAAGGACAAAGAUGAAGACCACCACAAGGACAAAGAUGGCGACCACCACAAGGACAAAGAUGACCACCACCGCAAGGAGAAAGAUGACCACCACCACAAGGACAAAGAUGACCACCACCACAAGGACAAAGAUGACGACCACCAUAAGGAAGACGACGAAGAUGACCACAAAGACAAGGGCGAGAAGAAGAAGAAGAAGAAGGACAAGAAAGACAAGAAGGACAAGAAGGAUGAUAGCAGCGACAGCGAUUAAUCCGUCGCAUGUGCAUGCAUCUGCCCAAUAAUUAGGUGUUUGGGGCGUCAAGAGAGCAUGCUCAACUCCUGUUUCCUUUACGUCGCAGCCAAUACUUAAAUUUCAAGAAGAAAAAGGCUUGUUUCACAGCCCAACCAAAAACCAAGAACCAAAAAGAAUGUGUGUAUUUGCUGAAUACUGUUACUAGCCACAUGUAAAAUGUUUCUGGCACGUUUUGAAUAUAUGAUUUAAUGUGAAACCUUCGUAAGCCUUUGAUAUGAAAUAAUAUUUUGGAUGAAUGCUCACUGCUUA